This is a long non-coding RNA of Pogoniulus pusillus (Red-fronted tinkerbird), 570 nucleotides long. RefSeq lists it as uncharacterized. The record is from RefSeq and is a predicted model, not a curated record. The transcript has 2 exons. Lineage: Eukaryota; Metazoa; Chordata; Aves; Piciformes; Lybiidae.
UAAAAACCAUGGUUCAAGUUCGCAUCAAGAGCACAUGCAUUGAUGCCUAUUGGAGCAGCCUCUGAAACAAUGAUCCUAGCGUCAACUAUUACUGCAAAAACCUAGGGAACUGCUUUCCUCCUAUUGCAACGCAGACAUACCUGCCACUACAAUCCGCUCGGGCACCUGCAUAGCCACAGUGGCAUUUGGAAAUCCUUCCUGGGCAUCCUUCUCCAGGUCAGCAUUUUGAGGAGCUACUUUGAGUUUCUCUGGGACCCUCAUGCGCUGGCUGAUGCCCUCGGUGUACUCCAUCUCAUACUGCAAGCGGUUCAUCUCGGCCAUCUCGGCAGCCGGCGACGGGAACGCAGCCCCGCUCAUUCUGCCAAAGGGAAAAGCAGCCACAUGGGAAACCACUGCAAGGUCUGGCAAGGUGUAUAGGGUUAACACUCCGGGGGAGUAACCCUGAACCUGACCCUAGGGGUCUUGGCCCCUCCCCAGGAGUGGGCCACACUCCAGGUGAUGGUUAGCCCACUCCCCCCACUGCCUGUCCUAUAAAACAGAGGAGCUUCCUGCUCCUCUUCCUCUCUCUUU